Molecule: ribosomal RNA, 504 nt
Filed under: uncultured Bacillota bacterium
Lineage: Bacteria; Bacillati; Bacillota
Description: bacterial SSU rRNA
Rfam family: Bacterial small subunit ribosomal RNA
Source: RNAcentral
UAGGGAAUCUUCCGCAAUGGACGAAAGUCUGACGGAGCAACGCCGCGUGAGCGAAGAAGGCCUUCGGGUCGUAAAGCUCUGUUGUUAGGGAAGAAUAAGUACGAGAGUAACUGCUCGUACCUUGACGGUACCUAACCAGAAAGCCACGGCUAACUACGUGCCAGCAGCCGCGGUAAUACGUAGGUGGCAAGCGUUGUCCGGAAUUAUUGGGCGUAAAGCGCGCGCAGGCGGUCCUUUAAGUCUGAUGUGAAAGCCCACGGCUCAACCGUGGAGGGUCAUUGGAAACUGGGGGACUUGAGUGCAGAAGAGGAGAGUGGAAUUCCACGUGUAGCGGUGAAAUGCGUAGAGAUGUGGAGGAACACCAGUGGGGAAGGCGACUCUCUGGUCUGUAACUGACGCUGAGGCGCGAAAGCGUGGGGAGCAAACAGGAUUAGAUACCCUGGUAGUCCACGCCGUAAACGAUGAGUGCUAAGUGUUAGAGGGUUUCCGCCCUUUAGUGCUGCA